RNAcentral lists this unclassified non-coding RNA (213 nucleotides) under fungal sp. RNAcentral describes it as "partial contains small subunit ribosomal RNA, internal transcribed spacer 1, and 5.8S ribosomal RNA". The stretch from base 1 to 46 matches the Rfam family "Eukaryotic small subunit ribosomal RNA", at positions 1786 to 1831 of the family's 1831-position model. Lineage: Eukaryota; Fungi. RNAcentral also lists the same sequence under 1 other name. The record is from RNAcentral.
AAGUCGUAACAAGGUCUCCGUUGGUGAACCAGCGGAGGGAUCAUUACAGAGUUAUCUAACUCCCAAACCAUUGUGAACUUACCAUAUGUUGCCUCGGCAGAACCUACCCUGUAGCGGGCUGCCGGCGGACCUCUAAACUCUUGUUAUAUUAUUGUAAUCUGAGCGUCUUAUUUUAAUAAGUCAAAACUUUCAACAACGGAUCUCUUGGUUCUG